GGGCCACUAGCUCAACUGGUAGAGCAUCUCGCUCUUAACGAGGUGGUUCGGGGUUCGAGUCCCCGGUGGCUCA
Molecule: non-coding RNA, 73 nt
Organism: Candidatus Roizmanbacteria bacterium
Lineage: Bacteria; Candidatus Roizmaniibacteriota
Source: Rfam